UAACAGAAGUAAUACAUUCUUCUUUCUGGUUUACAGCAUCACCAUACCAUGUCGAAGAGGGGAGGGGGGCUGAAGAAAACUUGCCCUGCAUGUAAAGAGAAGAUUUUUAAUGGAUUUAAAAUGUGCCCUAACUGCAAGGCCCCACAGCCUGAAAAUCUUAGAUUAUAAAAAAAAAAAUCGAAAAAUUUGAACAAAAAAAGGACAUAUGGGUAGCGAACAACAAAAGAAAUCAGGUGAUCUCCCACUUACUGGAUGAUGCAGUCAUUUUGAUAGAGAAGCUACACGCAGUUGGCUGGAGGCCUUUGCUCCUGCUUGAAUACCCCCACAAGGAGGCAAAACUGAUUUUGCCUAAAGAUCUGGCGUUGGGCACAAAUGCACAAACGUGCGUGAAAAACAUCCAUGAGAUCUUUAAAAUUAUGGUUGAAGGAAAUACAAACCAGGCAACAGAAAGUAGCCAGGAACCUGAGGAAGCUACUGUCAUUCUGCAUUUAGAGACUUUGGUCAACCCUUCAACAGCAGAACAAGAUUCGACAGCUGCAGCGUGUCUGGACCAGGGGGCUGGGACUAUGGACGGUCCAGAAUGCGAUCUCAGCCUUCUUCCUACAGGACAAGGGACAAGACGAAUUCGGAGGAAGAAAGUUGGAACUAAACAGAAAGAUUGUCCCCACAACAACUGGGAGGUGCACCCAUACAAGGGCAUAAUCCGGACAAGGCAGAGAAAGGGAAAGACUGAACACCUGUAUGAUUGGAUGCCCUGCGAGCUAUGUGGGAAAACGUGGCCUCCAACCUGGGAGGCUGCUUGAUACUUUCAGACACGCAUUUACUCACUCCAGCUCUGCCAAAUCCUAACAUGAUCCUCAUGUUCAAAGAGGGCCGUGUCUCUAUCUCACAUGUUCUCUCUUGCUCUCAGAAAGCUUUCAGACACACACACUCAUACUGACACAAAUACAGUGUUGAAUUUUGAUGUUUAUUUUAACUUGUUAAGUAUGUCUUAUUUUAAUAAAGAUUUGUCUUUACUAAGCUUUCCCAUUAGUUUGUCAUGUCUGUAACAUCACUCAAGUGAUAUCAAGUAGAGUUUGUUGAGUUGUCUUUGUAAUUGUAUGAUGUAAGUAAUAAAGACUUGAAU
Molecule: long non-coding RNA, 1126 nt
Filed under: Sinocyclocheilus anshuiensis
Lineage: Eukaryota; Metazoa; Chordata; Actinopteri; Cypriniformes; Cyprinidae
Description: lncRNA (ENSSANG00000047132.1)
Source: RNAcentral